AUGGUGGUGAUGACGGUGAUGGCGAAGUAGAAGGAGCCGGCGAAGCGCCACUGCACGCCGGCCUUGUGCGGCUUGAGGCGCAGCACGACGCGCUCCAGCUCCUCGUAGCCGCCCUGGCUGAGGUUGUAGCGCGCCCGCAGCUCCUGCUGCCGCAGCUCCAGCCGCUGCCGCUCGAUCAUCUCUGGCUCCGACUCGAGCGCGUCGAAGACCGCGGCGCCCACCAGCAGGAGUGUAAUCUGGGCAAGAGGGAUUUUCUUCCAUCAUAUCAGUGAAGACAUUGAGGCCCCGAGGGACCAGGUGACUGAGCGCAGAGGGGGUAAGAGGUAGAAGAGAAAAGAUCCAUUCUGGAGCUCAGC
This is a non-coding RNA of Delphinapterus leucas (beluga whale), 356 nucleotides long. The record is from RefSeq and is a predicted model, not a curated record. Lineage: Eukaryota; Metazoa; Chordata; Mammalia; Artiodactyla; Monodontidae.